AUAUAUCUAUACAUUUAUAUAUAUGAUAUAAUUAUUCCGAACUACAGCUCCACCUCCAAAUGGGCUGAAAUUUUUUGUAAUGGUUUCUUAUGGUUACAGAGUAAUGUAAAUAAUAAUUUUAAGUUGGGGGAAGAAACGAGAAAAAAUUUAUAUACAAAAAAGAGUUUAAAAUGUAAUGAUUGUUUUCUGAUUAAUGUGGAAUGAAAGUCGUUCUCUCAAGGGUACAGACACGCACGCACGUACACACACGGGAAGGGUGCAAUGGAGACCGCACCCACCCCGUCGGUAAGAGUACCCUAAGUAGAAGUGUGCAAAAGUACGGUGCGUACUUUGUUGAGAAAUAACUGUAUGUUAGUUAAGUCAUAAUUUAUCAUCAACUUUUACGCACCGUACCCAGGUACGCAUAUCUAUCCAAAACACCCUUAUUGCAAAGGUGCGCGAGGAGGGUUGAAGGCCUCCCUGCACCCCCCGUGUGUUUGUAUCUCUGGAAGGACGAAUUUCAUCCCGCAUUAAUCAGAAAACAAUGAUACAUUUCUUAAUCUUUUUUAUUUAUAUCUUUAACAAAUAACGAGCGCCGAGUAAAACCUUUAUAACAUUACUCGGGAUGAUAACCUUGAUAAUAUAUGUCAAGGUCAUUGACAUCAGGAGGUGGUUAUUCUAAAUAAUUACCAUAAUUUGUUAGUAGUUUCUAAAUUUUCUAAAAAAGUUGUUGGUCUUAAGACUUGCAUUACAUUAGCGAGUAAGACAGUAAGAGAGACGAGCGAGAUGAGAAUAACAUUUUUUACAAGGAAGCCUGAUACGAUUCUUGAGUUUUCAGCAUGUUGUUAUUCUCAUUUCAGUAACUUUUGUUACUGUCCCAUUUGUUUUUGGUGAUCUCUUGCUUGCUCCUUUUACUGUUUUGCUCGUUUUUAUUGAAUGUCUCGUUUGCUCUUAUACCUUCUCGCACGCACAUAGGGGAACUUGGAGCAGAAAGGGAUAGCUGGAUAAAAUAGGACAGUACUAUUAUUUUUAUCAAAUUAUCUUACCAGAAGACAUAUAGAAACUAGAUAAAAAAACACAGACAAGACAUUAAAAGACAUGAAAGUAAUCAUUUUAUCAUUAAUAAGCAUUGGGUAUCGCAGAAUUAUGACUUCAAUUGGUCAACACCUGAAAUUUUACAUAAUGAAAAGAGAAAUCGCGGAGAUGUUUUUCAUAAAAAAACACUAUCAAUGCACAAAGAGACACGGAGAAUUUAAACUCCAUUUAUGACCGAAUCAUUAAGUCUGCUUAAUUGUAUCUAAACACAUUUAUUUCGUUACUUAUUUAUUUAUAUUACAUUCUGACAUUGCGCUUAAAAAUUUUUAUGUUUGUCAUUUGAAUCAGUCUCUUGUUGGGAGUUUAUUGUACUGGUCGUGAUUUUAACCGCAGUGAUUUUUCUCAUAAAAAACUUAUUUCACAUUUUUUAACGACUAACGUACAUAUAAUUUACUUUGACAAUGCAACAUUAUCACAAAGAUUGACUACAUCCAUGCAGAGACUCAUUGACUUACAUGACACACAAGCAUGUGAGUUACAGACACAUUACAUUAUCUAUUUUAUCAACAUCAUUUUAAAGAAAUAUGUUUUUAAUUUUGACUUCAUGAUUUAUUAGCACAAGUCAUGACGAAAAGGUUCCACGAAUGUUUUAUUUAUAAAUCUCUUUUAAGUUGAAUUUCCUACAUUAUAGUGAAGGCAGUUAUAAAGGAAAAUUCCGUUUAUCGUCAUUUAUUUUACAUACACAACAGUUUCGCUUCCUUACAUUUUACAUACAUUUAUUGUGAACUCUUUAUACGCUUAUGAAUCAUAUAUUUAUAUUUAUAGAGCUCACUUGAGAAGGACCUAAAACAAGGGUCGAAGUGUCGUGUUAAUUUUUAAUUAAUAAAUUAGCCAGUUAGGUCGUCCAAAAUAAUUCACUAUUGAUUUUUAUUCACUGGCGAAUUAAAUAUUACCUUUGGGAACUAUUAUUUUUAUUGCAUAAUGUCACAACCUUGCAGAAAAUCGUUACACUUAACAAAGUUGCUUCAGUUUUAUCACGAUCUGUUGAAGCAGUUCAAAUUUUUCGCACUAUGCAAUGAAAAUAAUAGUACUGUCCCAUUAUACUCCGCUAUUCUAUUCUGCUCCAGGUUCCUCUAUUACCAAAAAAUCAAUAAUUCUGUUACCGACAUUUUGUGUACAUAGCACGGAACAUAACCAAAAUGCAAUGCGUUGCGCAAAUGUAUGUUACUCUUUGACUCAAACAUGAAUGUAGGACGGAUGCACAACCAAAGAUUUUAUUGACAGCAUCAAAAAGUAGAUGUGGAGUCGCAAGGAUUGGUAUUGGCCAGAAAAUGGUUCCACUAAUGGGGAACCUUGCUAAUCAAGAA
Molecule: long non-coding RNA, 2381 nt
Filed under: Monomorium pharaonis (pharaoh ant)
Lineage: Eukaryota; Metazoa; Arthropoda; Insecta; Hymenoptera; Formicidae
Description: uncharacterized LOC118645878
Source: RNAcentral